GACGAACGCUGGCGGCGUGCUUAACACAUGCAAGUCGAACGGAAAGGCCCUGCUGUUGUGGGGUGCUCGAGUGGCGAACGGGUGAGUAACACGUGAGUAACCUGCCCUUGACUUUGGGAUAACGUCAGGAAACUGGGGCUCAUACCGGAUAGGAUCUCCGGCUGCAUGGUGGGGGUUGGAAAGGUUGGGCGGUUGGGGAUGGACGGGCGCUUUGUCAGCUUGUGGGGGGGGUAGUGGCUUACAAAGGCUUUGACGGCUAGCCGGCCUGAGGGGGUGACCGGCAACAUUGGGACUGGGAUCCGGCCCAGACUCCUACGGGGGGAAGCAGUGGGGAAUAUUGCACAAUGGGCGGAAGCCUGAUGCAGCAAGGCGGCGUGCGGGAUGCCGGCCUUCGGGUUGUAACCGGCUUUCGCAGGUGACGAAGCGUGGGUGACGGUAAUGGGUAAAGAAGCACCGGCUAACUACGUG
RNAcentral lists this ribosomal RNA (468 nucleotides) under uncultured bacterium. Its description in RNAcentral is "partial 16S ribosomal RNA". It matches the Rfam family "Bacterial small subunit ribosomal RNA", at positions 28 to 507 of the family's 1533-position model. The record is from RNAcentral.